Long non-coding RNA from Benincasa hispida (wax gourd), 860 nucleotides. RefSeq lists it as uncharacterized. The record is from RefSeq and is a predicted model, not a curated record. NCBI's taxonomy places the organism in Eukaryota, Viridiplantae, Streptophyta, Magnoliopsida, Cucurbitales, Cucurbitaceae.
CAACAGUAUCUAGCCACAUAUAAAAAAAAAUUGUUACAAUUGUAUGUAAUGUGCCGAUUUUUCCUCAAAAUUUUAAAUGAUGGUAAAUUUAUGUACAAUGUAGAAGUUUUUUUAGCUGCAUUUAUUUACAAGUGUGGCAAAUAUAUUAAAAUAAAAUGAAUUGAUAAAAUAAUUUUGGUAAAAAAAAAUUCUUGAAAAAAAUGAAAGCUAUUUAAUUUAAUAUAUAUUUUUUUAAAAAAUAAUUUAAUAUAUUCUACUAAACCAAAAUAAAAGUCCUGCGUCUUUUCAUUCUCCUGCCCAUUCUCUCAAAUAUUCCCUCUCAAAUCUUAAUUCAUUUAAAUUUUUCUUUCUCCCGCUCUUUUCCCUAAAAUAGUCUCCUCUCAAAUCCUCAAUUCUUUUUGGUAAAUCCUGUUCUCGGUCGAUUGAGACCUAAGCAUCGAAAGACCAACUCAAAGAUUAAAUCAUCCUUGAGCAAGAGGAGUUUUGUAGCAGUAGCCAAAAGAGAAAUCGUCCAUAUCAAUAGGCAAAGGAAUAUCGAAUCGUUCUAGUCUACAAAGUCUUCCAAAUCAGAAGGUAUACAGUUGGAUGAAGACCUUUAAGACAUUAUCUUGCUCAUAUUUAUAAAAUGGAAGGAUCACGAAGAUCUCCAAGAAAUGAUGGAUCAAAGUCCAUGAACUCAACCAAGCAUUUUUCAUAUAAUUUAGUAUCUCCAUUUGUAGUUGUAAAGCAAUGUAAUAUCUCAACAACUUAAAUACUAAUAUUUUGUUUAUUGUGUAUAUUUUAGAUGACAUUAGAUAUCUUAUUUGAACAUUCUCAUAUUUGAAUAUUUUUGUAUUUAAACUUUAUGUAUUAUAGAUACA